UACGGAGGGGGCUAGCGUUGUUCGGAAUUACUGGGCGUAAAGCGCACGUAGGCGGACUGUUAAGUCGGGGGUGAAAUCCUGGGGCUCAACCUCAGAAUUGCCUCCGAUACUGGCAGUCUCGAGUGCGGGAGAGGUGAGUGGAAUUCCCAGUGUAGAGGUGAAAUUCGUAGAUAUUGGGAAGAACACCAGUGGCGAAGGCGGCUCACUGGCCCGUAACUGACGCUGAGACGCGAAAGCGUGGGGAGCAAACGGG
Molecule: ribosomal RNA, 253 nt
Filed under: uncultured bacterium
Lineage: Bacteria
Description: partial 16S ribosomal RNA
Rfam family: Bacterial small subunit ribosomal RNA
Source: RNAcentral